Molecule: ribosomal RNA, 430 nt
Filed under: uncultured bacterium
Lineage: Bacteria
Description: bacterial SSU rRNA
Rfam family: Bacterial small subunit ribosomal RNA
Source: RNAcentral
UGCGGAAUUUUAGAUAAUGGAGGGAACUCUGAUCUAGCGACGCCGCGUGCAGGAAGAAGGUCUUCGGAUUGUAAACUGCCGUGGUAAGGGAAAAAUGCUAUGUAGAGUGGAAAGCUACAUAGAGGGAUGGUACCUUACUAGAAAGCCCCGGCUAACUACGUGCCAGCAGCCGCGGUAAUACGUAGGGGGCAAGCGUUACCCGGAAUCACUGGGCGUAAAGGGAGCGUAGGUGGCCUAACAUGUCAACUGUGAAAACCCGGAGCUCAACUCCGGACUUGCAGUUGAAACUGGUAGGCUUGAGGACAGUAGAGGAAGACGGAACUGCCAGUGUAGGGGUAAAAUCCUUAGAUAUUGGCAGGAACGCCGGUGACGAAGGUGGUUUUCUGGGCCGGUUCUGACACUGAUGCUCGAAAGCCAGGGGAGCGAACGG